RNAcentral lists this unclassified non-coding RNA (146 nucleotides) under uncultured Capnodiales. RNAcentral describes it as "sequence contains ITS2". The record is from RNAcentral. Lineage: Eukaryota; Fungi; Ascomycota; Dothideomycetes; Capnodiales.
CACCAAUCAAGCCUCGCUUGGCCAUGGGCACCGCGGUUUACCCCGCGCGCCCCAAUGUCUCCGGCUGAGCCGUCCGUCUCUAAGCGUUGUGGUAUCAUCAAUUCGCUUCGGAGUGCGGGUGCGUUUGCGCCGUUAAACUUUACCAA